This 506-nucleotide ribosomal RNA is filed under the name uncultured bacterium. RNAcentral's name for it is "partial 16S ribosomal RNA". It matches the Rfam family "Bacterial small subunit ribosomal RNA", at positions 29 to 523 of the family's 1533-position model. The record is from RNAcentral.
AGUGAACGCUGGCGGUAGGCCUAACACAUGCAAGUCGAACGGCAGCACAGGAGAGCUUGCUCUCUGGGUGGCGAGUGGCGGACGGGUGAGGAAUACAUCGGAAUCUACUCUGUCGUGGGGGAUAACGUAGGGAAACUUACGCUAAUACCGCAUACGACCUACGGGUGAAAGCAGGGGACCUUCGGGCCUUGCGCGAUUGAAUGAGCCGAUGUCGGAUUAGCUAGUUGGCGGGGUAAAGGCCCACCAAGGCGACGACCCGUAGCUGGUCUGAGAGGAUGCUAAGCCACACUGGAACUGAGACACGGUCCAGACUCCUACGGGAGGCAGCAGUGGGGAAUAUUGGACAAUGGGCGCAAGCCUGAUCCAGCCAUACCGCGUGGGUGAAGAAGGCCUUCGGGUUGUAAAGCCCUUUUGUUGGGAAAGAAAUCCAGCUGGCUAAUACCCGGUUGGGAUGACGGUACCCAAAGAAUAAGCGCCGGCUAACUUCGUGCCAGCCGCCGCAGUAA